This 722-nucleotide ribosomal RNA is filed under the name Polyplastron multivesiculatum. Its description in RNAcentral is "SSU rRNA". It matches the Rfam family "Eukaryotic small subunit ribosomal RNA", at positions 109 to 957 of the family's 1831-position model. Lineage: Eukaryota; Ciliophora; Litostomatea; Entodiniomorphida; Ophryoscolecidae. The record is from RNAcentral.
GUUAUUGUUUAUUUGAUACAACAAAUGGAUAACUGUAGAAAAACUAGAGCUAAUACAUGCUUUAAUCGUAAGAUUGUAUUUAUUAGAUAUUCUGAAUUGGUGAAUCAUAAUAACUUCGCAAAUCUCGUUUAUGACGAGAUAAAUCAUCCAAGUUUCUGCCCUAUCAUGCUUUCGAUGGUAGUGUAUUGGACUACCAUGGCUCUCACGGGUAACAGGGAAUUAGGGUUCGAUUCUGGAGAAGGAGCCUGAGAAACGGCUACUACAUCUACGGAAGGCAGCAGGCGCGUAAAUUACCCAAUCCUGACUCAGGGAGGUGGUGACAAGAUAUAACGACGCGGUUAUUAUCGCGAUUGUAGUGAGGGUAUUCUAAACAGAACCUAUAGUACGAUUAGAGGGCAAGUCUGGUGCCAGCAGCCGCGGUAAUUCCAGCUCUAAUAGCGUAUAUUAAAGUUGCUGCACUUAAAAAGCUCGUAGUUGGAUUUCAAGGAUUGUAGAACCUCCACGGGGAUACAUCCUACUAGUCUUCGGACUGUUACUGUGAGAAAAUUAGAGUGUUUCAAGCAGGCUUUCGCAAGAAUACAUUAGCAUGGAAUAACGAAUGUAUUUAGAAUCUUGGUUAAUUCUAAAUUACGAUUAAUAGAGACAGUUGGGGGCAUUAGUAUUUAAUUGUCAGAGGUGAAAUUCUUGGAUUUGUUAAAGACUAACGUAUGCGAAAGCAUUUG